AAUUAAGGAUCAACGUCUGCUACGCCUAUUUCCAUUCAAGGAUCAACGUCUAAUACCAUGUGAACCCACAGUUUCACCGCUUCCACUAUGAAGUCGACCAUGCCAUGAAUGAAUGUACAAAUACCAAUGCAUAUGCAAUUAAGAUCAUCUCUACCAUCUUAACAUUCCACAUAUCACCAUAAUUCAACUCUAUGAAUUAUCCACCAAUGUUACAUAUACACAUUCAUAACAAAGACACCAUUCACAAAUCCACCAAUGACACAUAUACACAUUCAUAACAAUAUAUCAUUCACAAUCCACCAAUGGUACAUAUCCACAUUCAUAACAAUAUAUCAUUCACAAUCCACCAAUGGUACAUAUACACAUUCAUAACAAUAUAUCAUUCACAAAUAU
RNAcentral lists this long non-coding RNA (393 nucleotides) under Lathyrus oleraceus (garden pea). RNAcentral's name for it is "Pisum sativum (pea) long non-coding RNA (PSAT_LNC010261)". Lineage: Eukaryota; Viridiplantae; Streptophyta; Magnoliopsida; Fabales; Fabaceae. The record is from RNAcentral.